GGUCCUGCGGUGUGCUUCGCCCACCGUGUUGCCGCAGGGCGAGACCAAACGGUGAGCUAAGCAUGUAGGGCCGGGGAUGGAGUGCCUUCGGACGCGGGUUCGACUCCCGCCACCUCCACCA
This 121-nucleotide transfer-messenger RNA is filed under the name Lysobacteraceae bacterium. Its description in RNAcentral is "partial transfer-messenger RNA". It matches the Rfam family "transfer-messenger RNA", at positions 236 to 374 of the family's 374-position model. From Rfam's summary of the family: Bacterial tmRNA, also known as 10Sa RNA or SsrA, is named for its dual tRNA and mRNA-like properties. Lineage: Bacteria; Pseudomonadati; Pseudomonadota; Gammaproteobacteria; Lysobacterales; Lysobacteraceae. The record is from RNAcentral.